CAUGCUUGCCAAAGAAACUGCAUUUUCUUGGACAAGCAUCGCUUUAUAAUCUUCCAUACAAAUAUGGGAAUCAGGGGACAAAAGACACACAAGAGGAAAAGGGAAUCUCUCAUUUGUCCCAGAAGACAGUGAGACAAGUCUGGAAUUCCUACCUAUCAACCAGGUUGUGAUCAGCUCUGCCACUCAGCAGAAUUUUGACAGACUUUCCAGAAAGCAACUGCUGUGGACUGCGUUUUUCCAUUCUUACCCUGAAGCUUCCUCUGCUGCUUCUGUGCUCCACACUGGAGUCUUCAGUGCACAGCAUUUUGAAGGUACAGAACACCAGGAACAUGGGAACAUAAGCCACCUCUUUCUGUAUCAUUAGAUGUCAAAAUGCUU
Molecule: long non-coding RNA, 378 nt
Filed under: Parus major (Great Tit)
Lineage: Eukaryota; Metazoa; Chordata; Aves; Passeriformes; Paridae
Description: lncRNA (ENSPMJG00000012019.1)
Source: RNAcentral